Molecule: unclassified non-coding RNA, 336 nt
Filed under: soil metagenome
Description: partial contains 5.8S ribosomal RNA, internal transcribed spacer 2, and large subunit ribosomal RNA
Rfam family: 5.8S ribosomal RNA (bases 2-120)
Source: RNAcentral
CAUGAAGAACGCAGCGAAAUGCGAUAAGUAGUGUGAAUUGCAGAAUUCAGUGAAUCAUCGAAUCUUUGAACGCACAUUGCGCCCCUUGGUAUUCCAUGGGGCAUGCCUGUUCGAGCGUCAUUUGUACCUUCAAGCUUUGCUUGGUGUUGGGUGUUUGUCUCGCCUUUGCGUGUAGACUCGCCUUAAAAUAAUUGGCAGCCGGCGUAUUGAUUUCGGAGCGCAGUACAUCUCGCGCUUUGCACUCAUAACGACAGCGUCCAAAAGUACAUUUUACACUCUUGACCUCGGAUCAGGUAGGGAUACCCGCUGAACUUAAGCAUAUCAAUAAGCGGAGGA